RNAcentral lists this ribosomal RNA (497 nucleotides) under uncultured bacterium. RNAcentral describes it as "partial 16S ribosomal RNA". It matches the Rfam family "Bacterial small subunit ribosomal RNA", at positions 28 to 507 of the family's 1533-position model. The record is from RNAcentral.
GAUGAACGCUGGCGGCGUGCCUAAUACAUGCAAGUCGAGCGAACGGAUGAGAAGCUUGCUUCUCUGAUGUUAGCGGCGGACGGGUGAGUAACACGUGGAUAACCUACCUAUAAGACUGGGAUAACUUCGGGAAACCGGCGCUAAUACCGGAUAAUAUUUUGAACCGCAUGGUUCAAAAGUGAAAGACGGUCUUGCUGUCACUUAUAGAUGGAUCCGCGCUGCAUUAGCUAGUUGGUAAGGUAACGGCUUACCAAGGCAACGAUGCAUAGCCGACCUGAGAGGGUGAUCGGCCACACUGGAACUGAGACACGGUCCAGACUCCUACGGGAGGCAGCAGUAGGGAAUCGUCCGCAAUGGGCGAAAGCCUGACGGAGCAACGCCGAGUGAGUGAUGAAGGUCUUCGGAUCGUAAAACUCUGUUAUUAGGGAAGAACAUAUGUGUAAGUAACUGUGCACAUCUUGACGGUACCUAAUCAGAAAGCCACGGCUAACUACGUG